GAUGAAUGCUGGCGGCGUGCCUAAUACAUGCAAGUCGAGCGGUAAGGCCCUUCGGGGUACACGAGCGGCGGACGGCUGAGUAACGCGUGGGAACAUGCCCCAAAGUGAGGGAUAACGCACCGAAAGGUGUGCUAAUACCGCAUAUGGUCUUCGGAUUAAAGGAUUUAUCCGCUUUGGGAGUGGCCCGCGUACGAUUAGAUUGUUGGUGAGGUAACGGCUCACCAAGUCGACGAUCGUUAACUGGUCUGAGAGGAUGAUCAGUCAGACUGGAACUGAGACACGGUCCAGACUCCUACGGGAGGCAGCAGUAAGGAAUCUUCCACAAUGGGCGAAAGCCUGAUGGAGCAACGCCGCGUGCAGGAUGAAGGCCUCGGGUCGUAACUGCUUUAUGAGUGAAGAAUAUGACGGUAACUCAUGAAUAAGACACGGCUAACUACGUGCCAGC
RNAcentral lists this ribosomal RNA (445 nucleotides) under uncultured bacterium. Its description in RNAcentral is "bacterial SSU rRNA". It matches the Rfam family "Bacterial small subunit ribosomal RNA", at positions 28 to 512 of the family's 1533-position model. The record is from RNAcentral.